CAAAACUGCUUUAAAACACAUGGACUUUCCCCACGUGAAUCAAUAUUCAAGCCCUGAUCUCCCUGUUGAGGAAUGAGGCCAAAGAGAAGAGGGAGCUGAAAGACAGACGAGACAGAGGGAGGGCUGUGGGAUGUCAUCUGUAAAGAAGGAGAUUCUCAUUGGAGGCAAAGAGAAAGAAGAUUGCUAUGCAUGUUUUGAGGAAAAGAAAGGGGAAAAAGGAAAACAAAAAGCAUCCUACAUGCUGAAGCCAUCUUGGUCACACUACACUCUACUGGACUCCACAUCUGAUUGUUAUUAAGAAGCUUUGGGGGGGGGAAAGCUCCAACAAGACUGGAAUGAUGUCCUCCAAGUUGAAGUGGCUGAUUGUGUUCCAGCUCCUGCUGAAUGAACAGGCUCUGUGCAGGGUCCCACCUCCUCUUGCACGGAGAAACAUUACGCUUCCAGGAGCUGACUUCAAUGAAGGGGGAAAGGAGACAACCAAACCGGAUCAUCAGUCUCUUCUGGGAUCCCAAACCCAGCUCAGUAUCUCAGCAGCAGAAAAUCCUGAUCCUAUUCGAUCUGCCAAACGUAUAAUGUCAGUCCUCAGGGCGAAACUUCAGGGGCAGAUUCAAGAUCAUCUCCAGAUUCAGGGGAAUGUCAGCUGUGAGGAGUUGCUGUCUGCUAGCACCGUGGACGACCCAUCAUCCUCCAUGUUCCCCCAGGAGCUCCUGGGUCUCUCUUUAGUGCCUGUGUUGGUGGUGGCAGGCUGCCCACAAGAGGCACAGACCCUGGUGCUUAAGCUGUACAGCCUGCUGGGAGUGGCAGACACGGAGGAGCUUCUGAUGGAGGUGGAGGGUCUGAUAGAGAGGAGGAUGAGCAAGUUUGCAUCAACACCUGCACCUGCAUCAGAAGCAUCGUCUUCAGGGAGGGAUCAAACAGGGCGCCACAUAGAGGCUGUGAUGUUUAACAUCCAGCAGCUGGCCAUGGUGGGAGAAGGUCCCUCCAAACAGAAAGGGCAUUGUGAGGGUUGGACCAGGGUGAGGGGAACCACACUGGCAGGAACAGCUGUGGAAGGAGCCACAGGUGAUCUAGAGGAGGCUGUGAGCACCUGCGAGAGACUGGGAGUCCUGUGUGCUGGUGUGACCAGCAGUGGACUACUCAAACCUGGGAAAUACCAGGCAGUGUUUAAGAAAGGCAGCCACGUCCUGCCCUCUGAAUCCACAGUGUCUGAAUGUUGGAUCCGUCAAUGCAGCGCAGAGGACCAUGUUUUUGAGUUGACCUCCGCUGCUUCGGGUCAUCGGGUGAAGCGAAGCCCCCAGAGGAGCUGCAUCAACAAAAGCGAGGAGCGUGUGUACAACGUGAUGGAGUGGAUCCCUGCAGUCAGCACCCUCUACAACCUUGGCACAGCUGUGUAUUAUGCUUCAGUCAACUGCUCUGAAACAGCCAAGGAGAGAGCCAUCCUCAGUGCGGUUGACCUCGGCACGGAUGCUCUCAUGGUCGCCACAGGGGGAACUGCCGGGGUGGCAGGCUACGCCCUGGGUGCAGGGAUGAAGACCGGUGUGAAAGCUGGUGUCAAGUAUCUGCUCAGCUCCAUGAAGCAGGAAGACGAUGUGCUGGUGAACCAGGUCAGCUGGGAGGAGGGCGUCAUCACCAUUUUUUUUCAAACAAUGACACAGGAUCAAUGUUUGUUAACUGACAUGUUUGAAGAGUAACAUAUCGGUUUACUAGACUUAAGGUUAAUUGGAAAACAAGAUUACACGUUUUUGUAUUACUCACUCGAUUAUCAUAAUCAAGUUUUGAAAGGAGAAAAAUAGUUUAAAAACUUAAUUAAAUUACACAUUAAUUGUAAACAAUGUCAAUAUUCUAUAUAUAUAUAUAAAUUAGUAUGUUCAUAACGUAACAUAAGCUAACAACCUUUUUCCUUGUAGAAAAAUAGCUGCUUUUGCGUAAAACAGAUAGUUGAACAAAUAUUAAGCAGACAUUUUUGAAGAAGAACUGGUCUCAGGAAACUAAACAUCCAAUCCCUCAAGACUUUCAUUUUCCUUUCCAACCAAUGUUGUUCUUUUGUUCACUCUUGAUGUUUUCUUCUCUUCCAUUAUACCGUUUGGUCAGGUCAGAGUCACAUUCCCACCUCUGGUGUUAAUUGCAGGGACAAUAGACUGAAAACUAAAUUUUGUUUUUUUACAUUCUUUUUUUCUUCAAAUGUCAAUAAAUUGUAUAUUAAAUCAAUAUGUGUGUAUACA
This is an RNA transcript of Sander lucioperca (pikeperch), 2222 nucleotides long. It is a transcript of the gene named apolipoprotein F, with no coding region annotated. The transcript has 4 exons. The record is from RefSeq and is a predicted model, not a curated record. NCBI's taxonomy places the organism in Eukaryota, Metazoa, Chordata, Actinopteri, Perciformes, Percidae.